RNAcentral lists this ribosomal RNA (498 nucleotides) under uncultured bacterium. Its description in RNAcentral is "bacterial SSU rRNA". It matches the Rfam family "Bacterial small subunit ribosomal RNA", at positions 28 to 526 of the family's 1533-position model. The record is from RNAcentral.
GAUGAACGCUAGCGGCAGGCUUAACACAUGCAAGUCGAGGGGCAGCACGUCUUCGGAUGGUGGCGACCGGCGCACGGGUGCGUAACGCGUAUACAAUCUACCUUCUACAGGGGCAUAGCCCGGGGAAACCCGGAUUAAUAUCCCAUGGUAUGUAGAGAUGGCAUCAUCUCUUCAUUAAAGUUUCGGCGGUAAAAGAUGAGUAUGCGUCCUAUUAGCUAGAUGGUAAGGUAACGGCUUACCAUGGCUACGAUAGGUAGGGGUCCUGAGAGGGAGAUCCCCCACACUGGUACUGAGACACGGACCAGACUCCUACGGGAGGCAGCAGUGAGGAAUAUUGGACAAUGGGCGAGAGCCUGAUCCAGCCAUGCCGCGUGCAGGAAGACUGCCCUAUGGGUUGUAAACUGCUUUUAUACGGGAAGAAACACCCCUUGUGAGGGGGCUUGACGGUACCGUAUGAAUAAGGAUCGGCUAACUCCGUGCCAGCAGCCGCGGUAAUAC